GAAAUGUGGAUCUGUCGCCCGACAACGUGCCCGACAUCAAUGUGAUAACAGGGGUUUUGAAAGACUACUUGAGGGAACUGCCCGAACCGCUGUUCGCCCGAAGUCUAUAUCAGAUGCUUCUCGAUGCGUUAGCGGUUUUACUACCGGACGAUCCGCAAGCCAACGCCAAAUUAAUGUUGUCAAUAUUAGAUUGUCUGCCGAAACUCAAUAGAGCCACUUUGACGUACAUUAUGGAUCAUUUAGCAUUAGUCGUGUCGCAAUCGCCCCGGAAUAAGAUGUCCGCCCAAAACCUAUCAAUAUGUUUAGCCCCUGUGUUGAUGGUGCAAAGCGAAC
Molecule: long non-coding RNA, 333 nt
Organism: Adelges cooleyi (spruce gall adelgid)
Lineage: Eukaryota; Metazoa; Arthropoda; Insecta; Hemiptera; Adelgidae
Exons: 3
Source: RefSeq, a predicted model, not a curated record